This 527-nucleotide ribosomal RNA is filed under the name uncultured bacterium. RNAcentral describes it as "bacterial SSU rRNA". It matches the Rfam family "Bacterial small subunit ribosomal RNA", at positions 8 to 538 of the family's 1533-position model. The record is from RNAcentral.
AGAGUUUGAUCCUGGCUCAGGAUGAACGCUAGCGGGAGGCCUAAUACAUGCAAGUCGAGCGGUAGAGUCCUUCGGGACUUGAGAGCGGCGCACGGGUGAGUAACGCGUACAUGACCUGCCUUUAAGACCGGGAUAGCCCUGGGAAACUGGGAUUAAUACCGGAUGUGAUAAUAUGUAUAGAGAUAUAUUAUUAAAGUUGAGGCGCUUAGAGAUGGGUGUGCGUUUGAUUAGCUAGUUGGUAGGGUAACGGCCUACCAAGGCGACGAUCAAUAGGGGGCGUGAGAGCGUGACCCCCCACACGGGUACUGAGACACGGACCCGACUCCUACGGGAGGCAGCAGUAAGGAAUAUUGGUCAAUGGACGGAAGUCUGAACCAGCCAUCCCGCGUGCAGGAUGAAGGUCCUAUGGAUUGUAAACUGCUUUUAGCAGAGACGAAACGCCGACAUUUAUGUUGGUCUGACGGUAUCUGCGGAAUAAGCACCGGCUAACUCCGUGCCAGCAGCCGCGGUAAUACGGAGGGUGCAAG